AUAAGUCGCCCAUUUGAAUGGCGGUGGUUUCUGGAGAAAAGUAAUCGGAACGAACACAAGUGGGUACCUACAAUGCUGACGUCUCUUUAAUGCCGAUGGACACUCAUUUGUGAACCGUAUGCAAGUCUGGAGAUCUUGGUUUGGGCUGGAGAGAGACGCAGAGAGGAGGGUUGUGCAGGGGUGAUGGUGAGAGAGGAUCUGCACUGAGGCUGCCUGGAGUCCUGCUCGUUUGGGGAGGCGGGGAGGAAGCAGUCUGCAAGGUGCCCCUGGGGCUCCCCAGGCGAGUCGCUCUCCAGAAGAGCUCAGGGGAGGCCUGGGCAGGAGCCCACCCUACCCGCCCCUGCUGUGUGGCUUCUUGACUUAAUUACCCGACUUCAGAACAGGCACUGGGUAUCCAGUCUGUUCUCCACCCUCACGUUCAACAAGGCCACCCCUGACAUUUUUGAAGGUGAAGUAGCAGCGGCCUCUUUCUGGUGGCCUACUUAACUCUGAAGCUGCUGGAAUAAACUCCAUCAUGGCCAUACCUGGAGCCUUGGCUCCCCUGUUCUCUGCAAAUUCUGCUUUGUCUAGUGAAAAUCCCAGGCAAUGGCACUCUCCAUUAGUGUUUGGGGAAAGGAAAGGAGCAGAUGGAGUUCAACGUCGUUUUGACUGUCGUUAACGCAUCUGGCAAAGUUUCGCUUGUUCAGGAAGAGGACCGGAUGUGUGAACUAGCCCUUGCUCUCCCUUCUCCAGCCUCGUUGCCAUUUGGAGAUGCUGUUAGUCCCCUUCAGCCUGGACUGCAUCCUGGAAAGGAGCUACUGCGAUUGACCACAGAGCAGAGGACUAUGCCUUACUUGAUGUUGCCUAGACAGCUUUAUGGUCGUCAUCUGACACCGUCCUUGAAACAGGCCGAGGAAGAGCCUGUUCUACAAACGAGGGCGCUAAGGAGCUUGAGUCCCACAGGGUCAGACCCCGGUGAGGGGUGGAUUUCAGCCCAGCUCUGCUGCACCGGGCUCAGCGUUCCCUGCAAAACUGCCCACCCGAGGCUGGGGAAUGCAAGGUUCCAGGGCCUCACGGCUGGAACCAUCCAGAAGACCGGAAAGCCCAUGACCAAAGAUGGCUCAGCCUGCCAGGGACAGGACUGGCCCGAAAGAACCAAGUUCCCCGCCUCAGCAGCUCCACAUCUCAAGUCCCAGCAGGUGGCCCUGGGCACAGAGCAGACUGACAUCGGGCGGAGCCGCUGAGCUGGGGUCUGUUCCAUGUCAGGCUUCUGGGGGCAGUGUGCACUCGGCCCCACACCCGGCUCUCCUCGUCCGAGUUCGAGUUUCUGUCUGGAACCUGUUUCGUGCUGUGGGCAGGAGGCUAGGAGAGCAGGGCCUAAGUCCCUGAGGGAAGUCACGCUGGCAAGGAAAUUGCAGGCCGUGUGGGCCACUGCACAGAAAGCUGCCGGGCAGAGGAUCUCAGUGGGCGCUUAGUUGAGGGGAACAUACCAGAAAUCCGAGAACUGGCGGCGGAACUGUGCUCUAGACGCAAAAUGGUAUUUGGAAGUGUCUUCUGGGAAUGUUAGCUCCUCUGGCUGAGCCCGGUGAGGCCCGGCCAGGAGCUGCUGAAGCGCCAGGGCGGCCGUCCCAGGGCAUGGAGUCAGAAUCCAGACGGCAUGACCUGCUAGGCCUGGCCCACAGGCCCGACAGCAGGCCCAGCCAAGACACGCCUGGUCCCCGCCGCCUUCUGGACUUGUCCCCAAAGAGGCGAGGGUUCUCUCUCCAGUCCCAGAAUGCCUCCAACUUCGAGAGAUACGGGGCCUGGGCAGAGGCCUCAGAAUGAACGGACACCCUGGCCUGCCCCGUCCGGGAGCUGCAGGCCUGUGGCGAGGUCCAUGGGCACCCCGAGGCCUCGCGGCUGGACUCAGACCCACAUGGAUCUGCGUUACUCUGAACCCUGGGGUCUCCACUGGGUCAAAUGUGGGCCUUUGAUGUUUAUAACAAAACAACCUGUGUUUUGGGUUGCCAUGUGGCUGCCAGACCAUGAGCCUUGCUGGCGAUGACUCAGAAAUUCCGCCUCAUGUUCUCAAAAGGCCAGAGUGCUGGAUUGAAACCACAUAUUAAUAACUUGGCCGUCUGCUCAAUCUCGUAAUAUUAAAUGUGAGAUUGUUCGUGUAUUCGUGUCUACACAUUGUGAAACCAAUAUUAAACAUGACCCAUACCAAAAUAGCUCAGAGUGUAUUUAUUUCAAAGGAAACAGAAUGAUUUACGUUGAAUCCUCAUUGCUGCAGUGAACUUUAAAGGUAUCUUGAGGAAGGGAUAAAAGGCCAUGCAGUUAUUACUGCAAGUUCACAGAAAUCUUUGGACUUUUAAGAUACGAGGUCCUUUUUAUUUAAACAUUUUUAGAUGUUAUAACUACAAAAGCAUUUCUGCUUUUGACUCAUGAUCUGCUUAGGUUUUUGAUUAAACCUUCAUUCAUUCUCUUUCUCUCCCUAGGAUGUUCUAUUCCCAUGUUCGACAAACAUGCUUGCUUCGCCCAUGUUCUAGAACCUUCUUUCGGUGCUGCUGAACAAGGAGCUGAAGCCAUCUUCCCAUCUCUUGUCAUCUGGGCUCUGGGGCUCCUAGAACACCCGUCUCUGUGGGGGCAUUAUGCAGCGUCCCAGUGCACCAGGUCCCGCUACUCCUGGGUGCCUCCGUCAGGCCCGCAGUUCCGCAGAAGCCUGUUUUAGCGCCAGCCUCGGUGCCCCCCGUGUCCCCCUUCCCCUCCCUCUCACCCUGCGGCCAAAGGGCACUCGCCACGGGAACGGGGAGCCCCGCCACUCCUGUUGUCUGUCAGAUAAACUCCGAAUAUCCGAUGCCCAUUCAGGCUCCUACUUAGUCCAGAUUAAUUGGUCUUUCCCAAUCUUACCUCCCUGCUCUUUAAAAACUCAGCCACGUGCUGCCUUUUUCAAAAGUUGCUCCUACCUGCUCAGCUGGUAGCCGUCUGUUCUGCCUCUGAUCUCCACAGAGCCAGACAGCACGUGUACCUGUCCCCCCAGCACCCGAGCCAUCUGUGUGGACGGGCUCGAAGGGUGGGGGCGAUGCUCUGUCAGGAUUUGGGGGCAACUCCCUGGGCAGGGGUGAAGAUGAGAGGGUUGAGAGUCAGCCCUGGAGGAUGUUGCCUUGAAUGUGUGCCUCGCACAGGUAUGAAUCCUUGGCAGGUAAGAGUUAGGGCCCCAAAGCCAGACGCCUGCCUCUUAGCAGAAACAGGACAAAAGUGAGGGCAUUCCCACAAUUGGCAAAUGGGAUUUUAGCCACAGCGGUGCAUGAUUAUCGUGAAUUUCUCAGUGAGUAGAAAUCAGAGCAAAAUACUGG
Long non-coding RNA from Zalophus californianus (California sea lion), 3314 nucleotides. The record is from Ensembl. Lineage: Eukaryota; Metazoa; Chordata; Mammalia; Carnivora; Otariidae.